GGCUUGGUCCUGACUUUACUAUAAGCUUUAACCCAACUUAUACAUGCAAGUCUCCGCACCCCUGUGAGAAUGCCCUCAAUCCCCCAACCGAGGAAGAGGAGCCGGCAUCAGGCACGACAUACAUGCCCAAGACGCCUUGGUUAGCCACACCCCCCAGGGAGUUUAGCAGUAAUAAAUAUUAAGCCAUGAGUGAAAACUUGACUUAAUUAAGGUUAAAAGGGCCGGUAAAAUCUGUGGCAGCCACCGCGGUUAUUCGAAAGGGCCCAGUUUAUUGGUACGGGGUAAAGGGUGGUUAAGGAAAAAAAAUCAGAAUAAUGCUAAAGAUCCUCUAAGCAGUUAUACGCUCCGCGAGGACACGAAAUCCAAAUACGAAAGUUGCCUUAAUAAAGUUCACCUGACCCCACGAGAGCUGAAAAACAAACUGGGAUUAGAUACCCCUCUAUGUUCAGCCUUAAACCCAAAUUAUGAACUACUAAAUUAUCCGGCAGGGGACUACAAGCAUAGCUUAAAACCCAAAGGACUUGGCGGUGCCUCAGAUCCACCUAGAGGAGCCUGUUCUAGAACCGAUAACCCCCGUUAAACCUCACCACCCCUUGCCUUUCCCGCCUAUAUACCGCCGUCGUCAGCUUACCCUGUGAAGGUUCAAUAGUAAGCAAAAUGAGUUCAACCCAAAACGUCAGGUCGAGGUGUAGCGUACGAGGUGGAAAGAAAUGGGCUACAUUUUCUACCGCAGAAUAAUACGAAUAGUGUCCUGAAAACGACAUCUGAAGGAGGAUUUAGCAGUAAAAAGUAAAUAGAGUGUACUUUUGAAUUAGGCUCUGAGGCGCGCACACACCGCCCGUCACUCUCCCCACCACUACCUACAACCAUUUCUAAUACUUUACAUAAAAAUACGGGGAGGCAAGUCGUAACAUGGUAAGUGUACCGGAAGGUGUACUUGGAACAAUC
This 948-nucleotide non-coding RNA is filed under the name Loricariichthys derbyi. RNAcentral's name for it is "partial 12S ribosomal RNA". It matches the Rfam family "Bacterial small subunit ribosomal RNA". The record is from RNAcentral. Lineage: Eukaryota; Metazoa; Chordata; Actinopteri; Siluriformes; Loricariidae.